AGGCCUAUAGCUCAGCGGUAGAGCUCUUGCCUUACAAGCAAGCUGUCAUCGGUUCAAAUCCGGUUGGGCCUA
RNAcentral lists this transfer RNA (72 nucleotides) under Chlorokybus atmophyticus. RNAcentral describes it as "tRNA-Val". It matches the Rfam family "tRNA". From Rfam's summary of the family: Transfer RNA (tRNA) molecules are approximately 80 nucleotides in length. Their secondary structure includes four short double-helical elements and three loops (D, anti-codon, and T loops). Lineage: Eukaryota; Viridiplantae; Streptophyta; Chlorokybophyceae; Chlorokybales; Chlorokybaceae. The record is from RNAcentral.